Molecule: transfer RNA, 72 nt
Filed under: Ailuropoda melanoleuca (giant panda)
Lineage: Eukaryota; Metazoa; Chordata; Mammalia; Carnivora; Ursidae
Rfam family: tRNA
About the family: Transfer RNA (tRNA) molecules are approximately 80 nucleotides in length.
Source: Rfam by way of RNAcentral
GCCUGGCUGGCUCAGUCAGUAGAGCAUGCGACUCUUAAUCUUGAAGACAUGAGUUCCAGCUCAUGUUGGGUG